RNAcentral lists this unclassified non-coding RNA (253 nucleotides) under uncultured bacterium. RNAcentral's name for it is "contains 16S-23S intergenic spacer region". It matches the Rfam family "Bacterial small subunit ribosomal RNA", at positions 524 to 776 of the family's 1533-position model. The record is from RNAcentral.
UACGUAGGGAGCAAGCGUUGUCCGGAAUCAUUGGGCGUAAAGGGCGCGUAGGCGGCCUGCUAAGUCAAGUGUGAAAAUCAACGGCUCAACCGUUGAACUGCGCUUGAAACUGGUGGGCUAGAGAUCAGGAGAGGAAAGUGGAAUUCCUAGUGUAGCGGUGAAAUGCGUAGAUAUUAGGAAGAACAUCUAUGGCGAAGGCAGCUUUCUGGACUGACACUGACGCUGAGGCGCGAAAGCGUGGGGAGCAAACAGG